CGAAGCGGCCACACCCGGCUGGCAACAUCCAGCUCCACUCCGAACCUGGAAAUUAAGCAGUCGCGGGCCACAUCAGUACUGGGCUGGGCGACUUCCCCGGGAACGUGCCGGUGCUUGCUUCUU
This is a non-coding RNA of Trichomonas vaginalis G3, 123 nucleotides long. NCBI's taxonomy places the organism in Eukaryota, Parabasalia, Trichomonadida, Trichomonadidae. The record is from Rfam.